GUCGAGCGGUAGCACAGAGAGCUUGCUCUCGGGUGACGAGCGGCGGACGGGUGAGUAANGUCUGGGAAACUGCCUGAUGGAGGGGGAUAACUACUGGAAACGGUAGCUAAUACCGCAUAACGUCGCAAGACCNAAGUGGGGGACCUUCGGGCCUCAUGCCAUCAGAUGUGCCCAGAUGGGAUUAGCUAGUAGGUGGGGUAAUGGCUCACCUAGGCGACGAUCCCUAGCUGGUCUGAGAGGAUGACCAGCCACACUGGAACUGAGACACGGUCCAGACUCCUACGGGAGGCAGCAGUGGGGAAUAUUGCACAAUGGGCGCAAGCCUGAUGCAGCCAUGCCGCGUGUAUGAAGAAGGCCUUCGGGUUGUAAAGUACUUUCAGCGAGGAGGAAGGCNUUAAGGUUAAUAACCUUNGNGAUUGACGUUACUCGCAGAAGAAGCACCGGCUAACUCCGUGCCAGCAGCCGCGGUAAUACGGAGGGUGCAAGCGUUAAUCGGAAUUACUGGGCGUAAAGCGCACGCAGGCGGUCUGUCAAGUCGGAUGUGAAAUCCCCGGGCUCAACCUGGGAACUGCAUUCGAAACUGGCAGGCUAGAGUCUUGUAGAGGGGGGUAGAAUUCCAGGUGUAGCGGUGAAAUGCGUAGAGAUCUGGAGGAAUACCGGUGGCGAAGGCGGCCCCCUGGACAAAGACUGACGCUCANGUGCGAAAGCGUGNGGAGCAAACAGGAUUAGAUACCCUGGUAGUCCACGCCGUAAACGAUGUCNACUUGGAGGNUGUGCCCUUGANGCGUGGCUUCCGGAGCUAACGCGUUAAGUCGANCGCCUGGGGAGUACGGCCGCAAGGUUAAAACUCAAAUGAAUUGANGGGGCCCGCACAAGCGGNGGANCAUGUGGUUUAAUUCGAUGCNACGCGAANAACCUUACCUACUCUUGACNUCCANAGAANUUANCANANNNGCUUUGGUGNCUUCGGGAACUCUGANACAGGNGCUGCAUGGNUGUCGUCAGCUCNNGUNNGAAAUGUGGGUUAAGUCCCGCAACGAGCGCANCCCUUAUNNUUUGUGCCAG
This 1065-nucleotide ribosomal RNA is filed under the name Klebsiella aerogenes. RNAcentral's name for it is "partial 16S ribosomal RNA". It matches the Rfam family "Bacterial small subunit ribosomal RNA", at positions 61 to 1121 of the family's 1533-position model. The record is from RNAcentral. Lineage: Bacteria; Pseudomonadati; Pseudomonadota; Gammaproteobacteria; Enterobacterales; Enterobacteriaceae.